CCAACCACGUGCCAGAAGCAUCGGUAAUACGUGGGACACAAGCGUUACCCGGAUUCACUGGGCGUAAAGAGAUGCGUAGGCGUCUAGAAAAGUUCUGUGUUAAAUCCCAAGGCUCACCCUUGGAACCGCAUAGAAAACUCUCUGGAUUGAGUCAUGUAGAGAAUAGGGGAAUUCCUGGUGGAGCGGUUAAAUGCGUUGAUAUCAGGAGGAACACCAAUGGCGAAAGCACCUAUUUGGACAUGUACUGACGCUAAGGCUCGAAAGUGUGGGGAGCAAAACGGAUUAGAUACCCCGGUAGUC
Molecule: ribosomal RNA, 300 nt
Filed under: uncultured Deinococcus sp.
Lineage: Bacteria; Thermotogati; Deinococcota; Deinococci; Deinococcales; Deinococcaceae
Description: bacterial SSU rRNA
Rfam family: Bacterial small subunit ribosomal RNA
Source: RNAcentral